ACGAGUUAUCUGAACCUUCGGGGAACGAUAACGGCGUCGAGCGGCGGACGGGUGAGUAAUGCCUGGGAAAUUGCCCUGAUGUGGGGGAUAACCAUUGGAAACGAUGGCUAAUACCGCAUGAUGCCUUCGGGCCAAAGAGGGGGACCUUCGGGCCUCUCGCGUCAGGAUAUGCCCAGGUGGGAUUAGCUAGUUGGUGAGGUAAUGGCUCACCAAGGCGACGAUCCCUAGCUGGUCUGAGAGGAUGAUCAGCCACACUGGAACUGAGACACGGUCCAGACUCCUACGGGAGGCAGCAGUGGGGAAUAUUGCACAAUGGGCGCAAGCCUGAUGCAGCCAUGCCGCGUGUAUGAAGAAGGCCUUCGGGUUGUAAAGUACUUUCAGUCGUGAGGAAGGUGGUGUAGUUAAUAGCUGCAUUAUUUGACGUUAGCGACAGAAGAAGCACCGGCUAACUCCGUGCCAGCAGCCGCGGUAAUACGGAGGGUGCGAGCGUUAAUCGGAAUUACUGGGCGUAAAGCGCAUGCAGGUGGUUCAUUAAGUCAGAUGUGAAAGCCCGGGGCUCAACCUCGGAAUUGCAUUUGAAACUGGUGGACUAGAGUACUGUAGAGGGGGGUAGAAUUUCAGGUGUAGCGGUGAAAUGCGUAGAGAUCUGAAGGAAUACCAGUGGCGAAGGCGGCCCCCUGGACAGAUACUGACACUCAGAUGCGAAAGCGUGGGGAGCAAACAGGAUUAGAUACCCUGGUAGUCCACGCCGUAAACGAUGUCUACUUGGAGGUUGUGGCCUUGAGCCGUGGCUUUCGGAGCUAACGCGUUAAGUAGACCGCCUGGGGAGUACGGUCGCAAGAUUAAAACUCAAAUGAAUUGACGGGGGCCCGCACAAGCGGUGGAGCAUGUGGUUUAAUUCGAUGCAACGCGAAGAACCUUACCUACUCUUGACAUCCAGAGAAGCCAGCAGAGAUGCAGGUGUGCCUUCGGGAACUCUGAGACAGGUGCUGCAUGGCUGUCGUCAGCUCGUGUUGUGAAAUGUUGGGUUAAGUCCCGCAACGAGCGCAACCCUUAUCCUUGUUUGCCAGCGAGUAAUGUCGGGAACUCCAGGGAGACUGCCGGUGAUAAACCGGAGGAAGGUGGGGACGACGUCAAGUCAUCAUGGCCCUUACGAGUAGGGCUACACACGUGCUACAAUGGCGCAUACAGAGGGCAGCCAACUUGCGAAAGUGAGCGAAUCCCAAAAAGUGCGUCG
RNAcentral lists this ribosomal RNA (1237 nucleotides) under Vibrio crosai. RNAcentral describes it as "bacterial SSU rRNA". It matches the Rfam family "Bacterial small subunit ribosomal RNA", at positions 66 to 1288 of the family's 1533-position model. Lineage: Bacteria; Pseudomonadati; Pseudomonadota; Gammaproteobacteria; Vibrionales; Vibrionaceae. The record is from RNAcentral.